AAUAAGUGCAGAUUUGCACUAUUUAUUUCUAACGUUUGACUAUUUUAUUUAAUUUUUUUUAUGAUUUGUAUUUUUUUUGAUAUUAGAUGAUAAAUCAUGAAUAGAACUUUAUCUGUGACUAUUUUUUUUAUUUUUUUUAUAAAUUUUUAAAUAAGACGAACGAUCAAAACACCGGAUACGGAUAUUUACGGCUAUACUUAUU
Molecule: microRNA precursor, 202 nt
Filed under: Oryza meridionalis
Lineage: Eukaryota; Viridiplantae; Streptophyta; Magnoliopsida; Poales; Poaceae
Description: MIR812 microRNA precursor family
Rfam family: MIR812 microRNA precursor family
Source: Rfam by way of RNAcentral